Molecule: ribosomal RNA, 807 nt
Filed under: uncultured bacterium
Lineage: Bacteria
Description: bacterial SSU rRNA
Rfam family: Bacterial small subunit ribosomal RNA
Source: RNAcentral
UUGCAGAGUGCGGAUGAGUGGCGAACGGGUGAGUAACACGUGGGAAAUCUGCCUAGGAGUGGGGGAUAACAUUCGGAAACGGAUGCUAAUACCGCAUAUCUUUUUGAACCGCAUGGUUCUUAAACGAAAGACGGCUUCGGCUGUCGCUCUUAGAUGAUCCCGCGGCGUAUUAGUUAGUUGGUGGGGUAAAGGCCUACCAAGACCAUGAUACGUAACCGACCUGAGAGGGUGAUCGGCCACACUGGGACUGAGACACGGCCCAGACUCCUACGGGAGGCAGCAGUAGGGAAUCUUCCACAAUGGGUGAAAACCUGAUGGAGCAAUGCCGCGUGAAUGAAGAAGGUCUUCGGAUCGUAAAGUUCUGUUAUUAGAGAAGAACAAGUCAAGGAGUAACUGUCUUGACUUUGACGGUACCUAACCAGAAAGUCACGGCUAACUACGUGCCAGCAGCCGCGGUAAUACGUAGGUGACAAGCGUUGUCCGGAAUUAUUGGGCGUAAAGGGAGCGCAGGCGGUUGGAAUAGUCUGAUGUGAAAGCCCACGGCUUAACCGUGGAAGGUCAUUGGAAACUGUCCAACUUGAAUACAGAAGAGGUAAGUGGAAUUCCAAGUGUAGCGGUGAAAUGCGUAGAUAUUUGGAGGAACACCAGCGGCGAAAGCGACUUACUGGUCUGUAAUUGACGCUGAGGCUCGAAAGCGUGGGUAGCGAACAGGAUUAGAUACCCUGGUAGUCCACGCUGUAAACGAUGAGUGCUAGGUGUUGGAGGGUUUCCGCCCUUCGGUGCCGGAGCUAACGUAUAAGCACUCCG